RNAcentral lists this transfer RNA (64 nucleotides) under Imerinia grandidieri. Its description in RNAcentral is "tRNA-Arg". The record is from RNAcentral. Lineage: Eukaryota; Metazoa; Mollusca; Gastropoda; Systellommatophora; Veronicellidae.
GACCUUGAAGUGGUUAACCACACUUAAGUUUCGGCCUUAAAGAGAGAUUAUUAAUCCAUGGUUA